This is a small nucleolar RNA of Tachyglossus aculeatus (Australian echidna), 133 nucleotides long. RefSeq annotates it as small nucleolar RNA SNORA63. NCBI's taxonomy places the organism in Eukaryota, Metazoa, Chordata, Mammalia, Monotremata, Tachyglossidae. The record is from RefSeq and is a predicted model, not a curated record. The transcript has a single exon.
UUGCAGGUUCUAGUUACAAUGUAGCUGCAAAGUGCUGUAUUGUCGUUCCCCCUGCUCAAAGUAAAAAUUGUUUCAUACUAUCCCUGUCUACCUAGAUGAUUGUGGUAAGACAGGGACGCUUGGUUUCAAACAU